This 253-nucleotide ribosomal RNA is filed under the name uncultured bacterium. RNAcentral's name for it is "partial 16S ribosomal RNA". It matches the Rfam family "Bacterial small subunit ribosomal RNA", at positions 524 to 776 of the family's 1533-position model. The record is from RNAcentral.
GACGGAGGAUGCAAGUGUUAUCCGGAAUCACUGGGCGUAAAGCGUCUGUAGGUGGUUUAAUAAGUCAACUGUUAAAUCUUGAGGCUCAACCUCAAAAUCGCAGUCGAAACUAUUAGGCUAGAGUAUAGUAGGGGUAAAGGGAAUUUCCAGUGGAGCGGUGAAAUGCGUAGAGAUUGGAAAGAACACCGAUGGCGAAGGCACUUUACUGGGCUAUUACUAACACUCAGAGACGAAAUCUAGGGUAGCAAAUGGG